Molecule: ribosomal RNA, 253 nt
Filed under: uncultured bacterium
Lineage: Bacteria
Description: partial 16S ribosomal RNA
Rfam family: Bacterial small subunit ribosomal RNA
Source: RNAcentral
UACGGGGGGGGCAAGCGUUGUUCGGAAUUACUGGGCGUAAAGGGCUCGUAGGCGGCCAACUAAGUCAGACGUGAAAUCCCUCGGCUUAACCGGGGAACUGCGUCUGAUACUGGAUGGCUUGAAUCCGGGAGAGGGAUGCGGAAUUCCAGGUGUAGCGGUGAAAUGCGUAGAUAUCUGGAGGAACACCGGUGGCGAAGGCGGCAUCCUGGACCGGCAUUGACGCUGAGGAGCGAAAGCUGGGGGAGCAAACAGG